GACGAACGCUGGCGGCGUGCUUAACACAUGCAAGUCGAACGCUGAAGCUCUGCUUUCGUUGGGUGGCUGAGUGGCGAACGGGUGAGUAACACGUGAGUAACCUGCCCCCUUCUUUGGGAUAACGCCCGGAAACGGGUGCUACUACUGGAUAUUCACUGGUCUUCGCAUGGGGGCUGGUGGAAAGGGUUUCUCUGGCGGGGGAUGGGCUCGCUGCCUAUCAGCUUGUUGGUGGGGUGAUGGCCUCACAAGGGUUUGACGGGUAGCCGGCAUGAGAGGGUGAACGGGCACAUUGGGACUGAGAUAAGGCCCAGACGACGACGGGAGGGAGCAGUGGGGAAUAUUGGACAAUGGGCGAAAGCGUGAUGCAGCGACGCUGCGUGAGGGAUGGAGGCCUUCGGGUUGUGAACCUCGUUAGCUCAUGGUCAAGCCGAAACAAUGGUUGUGGUGAGGGUAGUGGGUAAAGAAGCGCCGGCUAACUACGUG
RNAcentral lists this ribosomal RNA (483 nucleotides) under uncultured bacterium. RNAcentral describes it as "partial 16S ribosomal RNA". It matches the Rfam family "Bacterial small subunit ribosomal RNA", at positions 28 to 507 of the family's 1533-position model. The record is from RNAcentral.